CUCAGGUACAGUAUGAGGCAACAAGCUGUCACCUGCCCUUGUGGAUCAUAAAGAAGAGCGUGAUAAGGUGUGGUGAGGCAGGCACUUCGAAAUAACCAUGGGCUGGUGUUACAGCUGUCAAGCUCGCUUUGGGUUCCGUACACGCGGAAGUAGGCCACCAAACUUAUACUGUCGGUAUCCAACAUUUAUUACCUAAUCCUCCCCUAAUAGAAACUGUUAGGUCUUGGUUGCCCUUG
Molecule: long non-coding RNA, 236 nt
Filed under: Volvox carteri
Lineage: Eukaryota; Viridiplantae; Chlorophyta; Chlorophyceae; Chlamydomonadales; Volvocaceae
Description: long non-coding RNA (VCAR_LNC000813)
Source: RNAcentral